This 392-nucleotide ribosomal RNA is filed under the name uncultured bacterium. Its description in RNAcentral is "partial 16S ribosomal RNA". It matches the Rfam family "Bacterial small subunit ribosomal RNA", at positions 523 to 918 of the family's 1533-position model. The record is from RNAcentral.
AUACGGAGGAUCCGAGCGUUAUCCGGAUUUAUUGGGUUUAAAGGGUGCGCAGGCGGCCAUUUAAGUCAGCGGUUAAAUCGUGGGGCUCAACCCCAUUCUGCCGUUGAUACUGGGUGGCUUGAUUGCGGUCGAGGUUGGCGGAAUUCGUUGUGUAGCGGUGAAAUGCAUAGAUAAGACGAAGAACACCGAUUGCGUAGGCAGCUGACCAGACCGCAAAUGACGCUCAUGCACGAAAGUGCGGGGAUCGAACAGGAUUAGAUACCCUGGUAGUCCGCACAGUAAACGAUGAAUACUUGUUUUCGGCGAUAUAAUGUCGGAGGCAAAGCGAAAGCGAUAAGUAUUCCACCUGGGGAGUACGCCGGCAACGGUGAAACUCAAAUGAAUUGGCGGGG